UAAAGAAUACGAUUAUCUCGCGUCAAAUUAGGUAAUAGGUAUCUGUGACUAAAUAAAUUUACCUAGCCUUAUUUGUAAUUUGUCUUAAACGUAACAAAUCACAAGGGCCAUGAAAGAAAGGCCUUCCAUCUUUGUAUGGCAGCAGUGCGUAAAAUUUGUCAAUACGUGAAAGCGUGAACAUGAUGUUUAUUAAAGCAAAUAUUUAUAUAUAAUUGUUAAAGUUCCGGCCAAUUCCGUGCCAGCAGCCGCGGUAAGACGGAAGGAGCUAGCUUAUUACGUAAGGAAUAGGUUUAAUCGAGUGUAGGUGUAAUAGUCAUAUAAGUGUAGCAUAAUUUAGUGUGUAACAGUUAAAUGUUGAAAAAUACUAAGGAAUGUCAACGGUGGAGACAGCUUAUCUUACAAUUACGCGCCAACGCUAAUUUUAUUAGCGUUGGCUUGCCGGUGUAACCGGGAUAUUAUCUUAUAGAUUUUAUCUAUAGACUUAAAAUUGAAACUCGGAAGUUCAGGUAGCAAACCGGAUUAGAUACCCGACAUAGUCUGAACCGUCAAAAUGAUGAUUAAAUAAAUAAUCAUAUACCUGGUGAUACGUUCUCAAGAAUUGUAAUCAUAGAAAUUGGCAGCCAUAGACAUAUGCUGUGGAUUAUAUAGGUCCAGCUUUUUAUAAAAUUAAAAGGCUUACUUAACUCUAUAUGCUGGAAAAUCCUUUAACCGUAGGCAACCAUAUGCCCUAUUUAAUAGGGCAUUUUGUUUUACAAUACAAUUAGGAUCAUCAGCAGAAAACUAUUAAGUUUUAAAACUUAAUAGGAUUCUCAGAGACUAAACGGGUUACAAUCAUACUAAGAUUGGUACGAUUGAUGAUAUAGUCCGAUUCUUUCCGGCGCAGCCGGCAAGCCUACGACAAUUUAAUUGUCGUAGGCUCGUUAAUAAGGAUUGCAUGCGGUUUAAUAGGAAGCAACGCCUAAAACCUUACCAUUCUUUAAUAUAAUUA
RNAcentral lists this ribosomal RNA (988 nucleotides) under Dunaliella salina. RNAcentral describes it as "small subunit ribosomal RNA". The stretch from base 1 to 578 matches the Rfam family "Bacterial small subunit ribosomal RNA", at positions 214 to 873 of the family's 1533-position model. The record is from RNAcentral. Lineage: Eukaryota; Viridiplantae; Chlorophyta; Chlorophyceae; Chlamydomonadales; Dunaliellaceae.